Molecule: ribosomal RNA, 2881 nt
Filed under: Klebsiella pneumoniae
Lineage: Bacteria; Pseudomonadati; Pseudomonadota; Gammaproteobacteria; Enterobacterales; Enterobacteriaceae
Description: bacterial LSU rRNA
Rfam family: Bacterial large subunit ribosomal RNA
Source: RNAcentral
UUAAGCGACUAAGCGUACACGGUGGAUGCCCUGGCAGUCAGAGGCGAUGAAGGACGUGCUAAUCUGCGAAAAGCGUCGGUAAGGUGAUAUGAACCGUUAUAACCGGCGAUGUCCGAAUGGGGAAACCCAGUGCAAUUCGUUGCACUAUCGUUAACUGAAUACAUAGGUUAACGAGGCGAACCGGGGGAACUGAAACAUCUAAGUACCCGAGGAAAGAAAUCAACCGAGAUUCCCCAGUAGCGGCGAGCGAACGGGAGCAGCCAGAGUCUGAAUCAGCUUGUGUGUUAGUGGAACGGUCUGGAAAGUCCGACGGUACAGGGUGAUAGUCCCGUACACCAAAAUGCACAGGCUGUGAACUCGAAGAGUAGGGCGGGACACGUGGUAUCCUGUCUGAAUAUGGGGGGACCAUCCUCCAAGGCUAAAUACUCCUGACUGACCGAUAGUGAACCAGUACCGUGAGGAAAGGCGAAAAGAACCCCGGCGAGGGAGUGAAAAGAACCUGAAACCGUGUACGUACAAGCAGUGGGAGCACCUUCGGGUGUGACUGCGUACCUUUUGUAUAAUGGGUCAGCGACUUAUAUUCUGUAGCAAGGUUAACCGUAUAGGGGAGCCGCAGGGAAACCGAGUCUUAACUGGGCGUUAAGUUGCAGGGUAUAGACCCGAAACCCGGUGAUCUAGCCAUGGGCAGGUUGAAGGUUGGGUAACACUAACUGGAGGACCGAACCGACUAAUGUUGAAAAAUUAGCGGAUGACUUGUGGCUGGGGUGAAAGGCCAAUCAAACCGGGAGAUAGCUGGUUCUCCCGAAAGCUAUUUAGGUAGCGCCUCGUGAACUCAUCUUCGGGGUAGAGCACUGUUUCGGCUAGGGUCAUCCCGACUUACCAACCCGAUGCAAACUACGAAUACCGAAGAAUGUUAUCACGGGAGACACACGGCGGGUGCUAACGUCCGUCGUGAAGAGGGAAACAACCCAGACCGCCAGCUAAGGUCCCAAAGUCAUGGUUAAGUGGAAACGAUGUGGGAAGGCACAGACAGCCGGAUGUUGGCUUAGAAGCAGCCAUCAUUUAAAGAAAGCGUAAUAGCUCACUGGUCGAGUCGGCCUGCGCGGAAGAUGUAACGGGCUAAACCAUGCACCGAAGCUGCGGCAGCGACACUAUGUGUUGUUGGGUAGGGGAGCGUUCUGUAAGCCUGCGAAGGUGACCUGUGAGGGUUGCUGGAGGUAUCAGAAGUGCGAAUGCUGACAUAAGUAACGAUAAAGCGGGUGAAAAGCCCGCUCGCCGGAAGACCAAGGGUUCCUGUCCAACGUUAAUCGGGGCAGGGUGAGUCGACCCCUAAGGCGAGGCCGAAAGGCGUAGUCGAUGGGAAACAGGUUAAUAUUCCUGUACUUGGUGUUACUGCGAAGGGGGGACGGAGAAGGCUAUGUUAGCCGGGCGACGGUUGUCCCGGUUUAAGCAUGUAGGCUGAUUGUCCAGGCAAAUCCGGAUAAUCAAGGCUGAGGUGUGAUGACGAGGCACUACGGUGCUGAAGUAACAAAUGCCCUGCUUCCAGGAAAAGCCUCUAAGCAUCAGGUAACAUUAAAUCGUACCCCAAACCGACACAGGUGGUCAGGUAGAGAAUACCAAGGCGCUUGAGAGAACUCGGGUGAAGGAACUAGGCAAAAUGGUGCCGUAACUUCGGGAGAAGGCACGCUGGUGUGUAGGUGAAGCCCCUGCGGGUGGAGCUGAGACCAGUCGAAGAUACCAGCUGGCUGCAACUGUUUAUUAAAAACACAGCACUGUGCAAACACGAAAGUGGACGUAUACGGUGUGACGCCUGCCCGGUGCCGGAAGGUUAAUUGAUGGGGUUAUCCGUAAGGAGAAGCUCUUGAUCGAAGCCCCGGUAAACGGCGGCCGUAACUAUAACGGUCCUAAGGUAGCGAAAUUCCUUGUCGGGUAAGUUCCGACCUGCACGAAUGGCGUAAUGAUGGCCAGGCUGUCUCCACCCGAGACUCAGUGAAAUUGAACUCGCUGUGAAGAUGCAGUGUACCCGCGGCAAGACGGAAAGACCCCGUGAACCUUUACUAUAGCUUGACACUGAACAUUGAGCCUUGAUGUGUAGGAUAGGUGGGAGGCUUUGAAGCGUGGACGCCAGUCUGCGUGGAGCCAACCUUGAAAUACCACCCUUUAAUGUUUGAUGUUCUAACGUUGGCCUGACCGGGGUUGCGGACAGUGUCUGGUGGGUAGUUUGACUGGGGCGGUCUCCUCCCAAAGCGUAACGGAGGAGCACGAAGGUUAGCUAAUCCUGGUCGGACAUCAGGAGGUUAGUGCAAUGGCAUAAGCUAGCUUGACUGCGAGCGUGACGGCGCGAGCAGGUGCGAAAGCAGGUCAUAGUGAUCCGGUGGUUCUGAAUGGAAGGGCCAUCGCUCAACGGAUAAAAGGUACUCCGGGGAUAACAGGCUGAUACCGCCCAAGAGUUCAUAUCGACGGCGGUGUUUGGCACCUCGAUGUCGGCUCAUCACAUCCUGGGGCUGAAGUAGGUCCCAAGGGUAUGGCUGUUCGCCAUUUAAAGUGGUACGCGAGCUGGGUUUAGAACGUCGUGAGACAGUUCGGUCCCUAUCUGCCGUGGGCGCUGGAGAAUUGAGGGGGGCUGCUCCUAGUACGAGAGGACCGGAGUGGACGCAUCACUGGUGUUCGGGUUGUCAUGCCAAUGGCACUGCCCGGUAGCUAAAUGCGGAAGAGAUAAGUGCUGAAAGCAUCUAAGCACGAAACUUGCCCCGAGAUGAGUUCUCCCUGAGACUUUAAGUCUCCUGAAGGAACGUUGAAGACGACGACGUUGAUAGGCCGGGUGUGUAAGCGCAGCGAUGCGUUGAGCUAACCGGUACUAAUGAACCGUGAGGCUUAACCU